GUUGACCUCGGAUCAGGUAGGAGUUACCCGCUGAA
This 35-nucleotide ribosomal RNA is filed under the name Talaromyces minioluteus. RNAcentral's name for it is "partial 28S ribosomal RNA". The record is from RNAcentral. Lineage: Eukaryota; Fungi; Ascomycota; Eurotiomycetes; Eurotiales; Trichocomaceae.